GGGCACGUAGCUCAGUUGGUUAGAGCGUCUGCUCGACACGCAGGAGGCCACAGGUUCAAAUCCUGUCGUGCCCA
This 74-nucleotide transfer RNA is filed under the name Candidatus Nealsoniibacteriota bacterium. Its description in RNAcentral is "Candidatus Nealsonbacteria bacterium tRNA-Val". It matches the Rfam family "tRNA". From Rfam's summary of the family: Transfer RNA (tRNA) molecules are approximately 80 nucleotides in length. Their secondary structure includes four short double-helical elements and three loops (D, anti-codon, and T loops). Further hydrogen bonds mediate the characteristic L-shaped molecular structure. tRNAs have two regions of fundamental functional importance: the anti-codon, which is responsible for specific mRNA codon recognition, and the 3' end, to which the tRNAs corresponding amino acid is attached (by aminoacyl-tRNA synthetases). tRNAs cope with the degeneracy of the genetic code in two manners: having more than one tRNA (with a specific anti-codon) for a particular amino acid; and 'wobble' base-pairing, i.e. permitting non-standard base-pairing at the 3rd anti-codon position. Lineage: Bacteria; Candidatus Nealsoniibacteriota. The record is from RNAcentral.